RNAcentral lists this ribosomal RNA (250 nucleotides) under uncultured bacterium. RNAcentral describes it as "partial 16S ribosomal RNA". It matches the Rfam family "Bacterial small subunit ribosomal RNA", at positions 524 to 773 of the family's 1533-position model. The record is from RNAcentral.
GACGUAGGAGGCGAGCGUUAUCCGGAUUUACUGGGCGUAAAGCGCGCGCAGGCGGCUUCGUUAGUCGGAUGUGAAAGCUCCUGGCUUAACCGGGAGAGGCCAUUCGAUACUGCGAGGCUUGAGGUUGGAAGAGGGGUGUGGAAUUCCCGGUGUAGUGGUGGAAUGCGUAGAUAUCGGGAGGAACACCUGUGGCGAAAGCGGCACCCUGGUCCACACCUGACGCUGAGGUGCGAAAGCGUGGGUAGCAAAC